CAUUGGUGUUGCAUCGGGCGUUCUGCGUUUGAUGAAGUGUUUUAAGAAACUUUGUAGACCCGUGUGUGAACUGCCAUUCUGACUAUGUAAGGAUCACGGGGAACUUCGAUCUCAUCGACAAUAUUUCACAUCGUCACAGCUGUGCUUUGCACAUACAUCGAUAAACCGCCACGUGCAGACUCUUCUCAGAAUGAAGUGUACACCUGGAGGCAGUUAUUCAUAUUCACACCUAAUGUUUCUCGACACACAAGACACGUGGCAGGGAGUUAGUCAUCGAGGGUAACCCCAAACCUGCGGUGGGUCUGUUACACCUGAUUUCAGCCACACACCUUGAGCUGCUGUGAAGGUCUGACUCACAACAUGGACUUCGCGAAGCGGCGCCUGCUUUGGUCUCUGAUGAGGACUCCUGAAGUCGUCCAAGAUUUCCAGAUACAAAAGCUGGCUCAGAAAAAACUUGUGCAGGAGAACUAUUUCUCUACAGGCUCCAGGCUGUGGAAGUUCCGCGUUCCCUUGGCAACUGUCGUUUCAGUAAUGUCCUUGCUGGAUCUCUGGCUGCCAAAGCAAAGCCGCCAGCUGCUGCACUCGGGUACUUGACAACCCUGAGAGAACCUGUACAGGAGAAAGAUUCUUCUUUAGCCCUAGCUGUGGUGGGUCGGCGUUUCCUUGGCAGCAGCAUCGGUAGUUCUAGCAGUGUCUGUAGCUCGUGCUCUCCGUAGAAUCAUUGAUGGAUCUCUGGCUGACAAAGAAAAGCUGCAAGCUGUUACAACCGGGGACGGGACAGCCCCGAUGCAAGCUGAUACAACCGGAACGGGACAACCCCGCAAGAACCCACUCAGGAGAAAGAUUCUUCUUCAGGUUCCAGACUGUGGUGGAGGGUCGGCAUUCCCGUGGUAGCAGGAUUGGUUACAGCCGUGGUAGCUGUCGUAGUAGUGCUUGUAGUUGUCGCAGCUGCUGGUUUCGGUGAUGGCGGCAUCACUGCUGGAUCUCUGGCUGCCAAAGGAAUGUCGCUAGCGGCUAUUACCGGGCAUGGCGCGUGGGUGAUUGGCGGUCUUCAGUCGUUGGGAGCUGCAGGACUGACGGCCUCGAAAGCAUUCCUGGUUUGGAGCACUGGGACCGCACUUGUUAGUAUGAUGAUCAACGGCAGUGCCAACGAGGACAAGAAAGAAAAAAGAAGAAGAGAAACAGAAAGAGAAAUAAUAAGUCCUGCUGAGGAUGAUAGGUGGGUGGGUAACAGAUACCUAGAUAGUGAUUUCGAUCUUCGUUAGAUAUAGACGAUAUUACAAGCAUAUUAGCGCAUCUUUUAAAUUAUUUGCCAGAUUUGCUUCAUUUAACAGUCUUAAUACUUUCCUACAUCAUCAUCGUCGUCGUCGUCAUCGUCAUCAUCAUCAUCAUCAGAUGACUCUCAUGUCAUUGUAUGUAUUCUGUCUCACCCUGGAUCAUGGAGCGAACCUUCAGGCUUUGUGUCUAAGAAAGGAAAUCCAGUAAGAUGGUGUGGAGGCGAUAGAUAGUGGGGACAGAGCGACAGAACAGAGAAGCAAAAGAGAAGAAGGCAGACAUGAGUAGUAUCUCUUCUUCGCUUGGUAGACAUUCACUGCUCCUGAAACUUUCUACAACUUUGUACAUAGAAUAUUACAGAUUAAUGUGUCAUGUUGUAUAUAACAGAUAAGAGAUGAUUUGUAAGGCGCAUCUUCCACUUGACCAAACACCUCGAUGCAGAACACACACACACACACAUAUAAAUGGUAAACUAGGGAGCACAUCAUACCCCACAGACCGCUUAUGACAUUAGACAAAGCAUCACUCUCACACACACACAAACAACAGAUCACAUAUCAGAGUGGCAACAGAAUGUAUUAAGUAUUAUUAAGUAUUAUGUAUUAGUAACCCUAUUGUCAAAUUUUGGGAUAAAUCGAUCUUGUAGGUUAGUGAAAUCUCAAUAAAGACGAGUGUGGCGAACUUCGA
RNAcentral lists this long non-coding RNA (1962 nucleotides) under Pomacea canaliculata. Its description in RNAcentral is "uncharacterized LOC112565343". The record is from RNAcentral. Lineage: Eukaryota; Metazoa; Mollusca; Gastropoda; Architaenioglossa; Ampullariidae.